Molecule: ribosomal RNA, 495 nt
Filed under: uncultured bacterium
Lineage: Bacteria
Description: partial 16S ribosomal RNA
Rfam family: Bacterial small subunit ribosomal RNA
Source: RNAcentral
GACGAACGCUGGCGGCGUGCCUAAUACAUGCAAGUAGAACGCUGAAGGAGGAGCUUUCUUCUCUGGAUGAGUUGCGAACGGGUGAGUAACGCGUAGGUAACCUGCCUGGUAUCGGGGGAUAACUUUUGGAAACGAUAGCUAAUACCGCAUAAGAGUAGAUGUUGCAUGACAUGUGCUUAAAAGGUGCAAUUGCAGCACUACCAGAUGCACCUUCGUUGUAUUAGCUAGUUGGUGGGGUAACGGCUCACGAAGGCGGCGAUACAUAGCCGCCAUGAGAGGGUGAUCGGCCACACUGGGACUGAGACACGCCCCAGACUCCUACGGAAGGCAGCAGUAGUGAAUCUUCGGCAAUGGAAGGAAGUCUGAGCGAGCAAAGCCGCGGGAGUGAAGAGGAUUUUCGGAUCGUAAAGCUCUGUUGUAAGAGAGGAACGAGUGUGAGAGUGGAAAGUUCACACUGUGACGGUAUCUGACCAGAAAGGGACGGCUAACUACGUG